Molecule: long non-coding RNA, 235 nt
Filed under: Homo sapiens (human)
Lineage: Eukaryota; Metazoa; Chordata; Mammalia; Primates; Hominidae
Description: HSALNT0326058
Source: RNAcentral
AAAAAUCAGACCAGAUCCCUGUUAACUGCUAGUCACUAUAAAUUAUUUUCUUUCUUUUCUUUCACUCCCCUUCCUUCACUCCCUCCCUCCUUCCCUCCCUUCCCCCCUCACUCCCUGCCUCCGUCCUCCCUCCAUCCUCCUCCGUCCUCCCUCCCUCCUCCCUCCCUUUUCCCUUCCUCCCUUCCUCCCUCCCUUUUCCCUCCCUUUUCCCUUCCCUUCUCCACUCCCCCCCCCA